RNAcentral lists this long non-coding RNA (2389 nucleotides) under Sus scrofa (pig). RNAcentral describes it as "lncRNA (ENSSSCG00065038433.1)". Lineage: Eukaryota; Metazoa; Chordata; Mammalia; Artiodactyla; Suidae. The record is from RNAcentral.
AUGUCACAGGUGAAAGGAUGCGAUUUCAUGAAUGUGAUCUCAUCAUAGAAGAUGCUUAACUUAUCUUGGUAGGAGGCUUUCUCUUCCUUACAGACUUUGAAGAAGCGUUCUGCCAUGUCAUAAGAUUUUGUAGGGAGAAUAGCACACAGAGGAGCUGAGGGUGGCUCCCAGCCACAAGACACUGAGUCUUGGUCUAGCAGCCUGCAAAGAACUGAAUGCUGCCAACGAGAGCCUCAUGAGAAUGCAUAGUAAAGGUUAUGAUUUCAUUACACAGAUGACUAUGACCUUCACCGAGAACUUGUACUAUGACAAAACCUCUCAAUCCCAGGGCACACUAUAGGUGUUUUGUCUGGACUACCGUAAAGAUAAAAAUCUCUGUUUUCAAGUAAAAGUCAGAUUAGAGAAGAACUAUGAGUCAUUGACCAGUGAUGUUGUCCUUACUUCAUGGCUGGGGGCGCGGGUGGGUAUCAGUCUCCAAUUUCUCAGACCUUUCUAGUUUAGAAAAGUGUGUUAAGACAUGGAUCAGAUGUUUAAUAGAUUUGAGGAUGGUGCUGCCAAUGGCAGUGAGGAACAUGAUUAGAUAAACUUCCACUGAUUUUUAACAUUCACGUUCUUCUUGAGAGAUGGGGAGUGAACACAAAAAUCAACAGUAAUCACAGCAAAACUUAACUUCCUAAGAGGGAGUUGCUAACAUAGGGAGGAAAACAAAAGAACAAUUUCAUUCCUUGCUAAUCUAGAAAUCAAAUACUGUAAUUCUCCGGUCUCAGAAAUUUGGCAGUCUGGUUUCUUCUGAACAAAGAUGUAUUAGCAAUUUGAGCCUUUUGCUAUGGAGACCUCAUGACGCUCAUAAAACAUUCCAUUGUGGUUUCUCAAGUGAGAUAGGGAGUCGUUUCUUAAGAAAUAAGAAAUUGGCAUUAUCUCAAGAAAAGAAGAACUUACAGAAAUGUGUUAACAUCAGCUUUUCUGAGAACAUGGGAAAUGUCAUAAUAGGUUCAAAGCAGUAGGCUUUCUAACUGGGAAUUCUGUGUUACAUGGCAGCACCAAAGGCUAUUUCUUGAACCACUAAAAGUCAUCCACUGUUUACUAAACAUACAUCCUGUAACUAAACUUUCCCCUAAUUAUUUUCAUCAGUCUAUUUUUCAAAACCGAAUUAAACCCUUCUUGAAAUUGACUAAAAAUUAUACUAAGUUAACAUAUCAUACUCAUAGCCAUACAGCAUAUACUUAUACACUGAACCUCAGAUAAUAAGAGUCACAAUUUUAAGUAUUGACUAAACAGAAAACUGGAAUAAAUAAAACAAUGCAAUUUAAAUUCUGACUUUAAAAAUCUGUAAUCAUAUUUCAUUUUAACUACACAAGUGAUAAAUGCAGAUGCAGCUCUACAAUACCACUUUCUCAUCAUACUCAACCUUCAUGUUCUGUGCUCUGUGUCCUAUUUAAUCUUUUUUUUCUUUUUAUGGCCAAUCCCAUGGUAUAUGGAAGUUCUCAGCCAAGGGUCAAAUUGGAGCUGCAGCUGAGGCCUAUGCCACAGCCACAGCAACACCAGAUCCGAACCACCUCUGCAACAUACACCUCAGUUCGUGGCAAUGCCAGAUCCUUAACUCACUGAGCGAGGCCAGGGAUCAAACCCACAUCCUCCCAGAGACAACGUCAGGUCCUUAACCCACUGAGCCAGAAUGGGAACUCUAAUAAACCUUUUACUUACAAAAAAAAUUAUAAAGAUGUUGCAUAUAGUAUCUUAUGUAAGCCUUAUUAAUGUACUGUUUAUAUUUGCAUCUAAAGUUCACCUGUUAAUUGUGAAUGUUAUAUGGUAUGUCUUUCUACCAAGGCCCUCUGAUAUCUUCUCUGCUGUAAAAAGUCUAUUUCUGGACUCUAUUCAAGUAGAAUAUUUAUUUGUCCUCCUGCCAACAUGAUGCUGUUUUAAUAUUUAUGUUGUUCAUAAUAUGUCUUGAUAUCUGGUAAUGUACAUCCUUCAGGUUGGUUCUUCUUCUUGAAGACAGCCAUCAGUAUUUCUGGUCUGACAUAUUGUGCAGUCCUUUGAAUUACUCAUGGUUAUCUUUCUCUCCCUUGUGGUAGGAUUAUCCAUUCACAUCCUUGCCAUGGCCUCAAGGUUGGCAAUGUGUAUUUUCAUUUUCUUUGGGCUUGGCUGUAUGACUUGAUGUUACUGCUAGGACACUGGCAGAUAGGAGAUGAACAAGGGCUUUAUCGUUGGCUUCCUACUUUUGCAAUCCUGAUAUCAUCACAAGAAAGAACAUAACCUGGGCAGAUGGUGCCUUCCAGCCAGGAUUCCAAACAGACCAAAGCAGAUGAAUCAAAACUGCUCCAACUGACCUGUAAACCUGAGCCUAAAGCAGAAUCUCCCUAGACCUGCCAGGGUAAAUGUUGGCUUC